AUGGGGACAGGGCGCGGAGCCGCUCAGCCGUGCAGUGUAGCCAUCCCCCGUGGCGUGGGUGUUGGCCCUGCUCCCUGGGUUCCCACACAGUUACUUGCAGAUUUCUUCUUGCAUUUGGACUCCACUCACCAUCACUCCGUGGAUAUUAUCUGGGUGCCUCCCCUGCAAGCUCAGAUCACCCAGGGAGACCAGUCCCCUUCCAUCUGUGAGGACAACAGUGUGGCGAGAUUCAGUUGCCCCCAGGCUUGCAUUAUGCCAGGUGGAACCCGGGCGGCUGCUGUGAUUCGGCUGCGUGAAACCCAUAUUCUGAGCGGACUAAGCAGACAGAGCCUACUCCGAGUUAUUGGUGUGCAAAGGGAAGAAAUCGUACCUUUCAUCCGCGUUCAGAGAGCAAUGAGGACUGGAACCGCCUGGGGUGAAAGGCCGGGUGGCUGUGGCAGACAGAGCCAGGCUCUGCAGAGCGUGACGCAUCAACAACCUUGUGCUCUGCUGACAGCCCAGUGAAGGCCCCUGAAGCCAGCUGGGCACUGGACUCUGCGGGCAUCCAGAACACCCUGAUGAUGAGAGUGCCCCGAGGCCGUCAGAAGUCUCUGCCUCCCCUGCUCUGCCCCCUGCGCCCCUGCUCAGGCCUCAGCAGGCUCCACCUACACCCGCGAGCUGCGCGUUCACGCCGUGGCUGGGGCGUUCCUCCCCGCCUCCCUCGUUGCCCGCAGUUGUUGAGGGAAGUUCUGGGUGCAGAGCUGCCUCUUGAGGCUCCUCCAGACAAUUGUCUCAGAACCUGUCAUUGCCUCCACACUCCUUGGGAAGCGGGGGCAUUGCAGCUGCGCUUUCCACCUUCCUGUUUGAAGCUGGAGACCCAAGCGGGCUGGAUGCCUCCUCAGCACGCAUGGUCUUCAAGCUGGGACUGAGGUCGUGGUGCAUGCUUAGUUCCCUGGGGCUGCCCCAGCAAAGCACCACAGACCACGUGGCUUAAACAGCAGCCAUUUGUUGUUACACGGCUCUGGGAACCAGAGGUCCGAGAUGGAGGUGUGGGCCGCGCUGGCUCCCUCCGAAGGCACAGGGAACAGUGUGUUCCUCUUCCCGUCUGUGGCAACGGCAGGUGUUCUCCGGCCUGCAGCUGCACCCCUGCAUCCUCUGUCUCCCUGUGGCUUUCUCUCUGUGUCUCUUUGUGCCCUCUGCCUCCAGGUGUGCCCAUCCAAGUUUCCCCCUUCUGGAAGGACCCUGAUGACUUCAUCUUAAAUUAGAUCAUUCUGCAAAGACUCUAUCUCCAAAUAACAGCACAUUCAUUGACGUUGGAGGUUAGCACUCGGGCAGAUCUUCUUGUGGGGGAGGACAUGAUUUAACCCAUAACAGAGCGAAGAACAUAAGAUCCCAGAGAAAUAUGGCGCAGGAUGGACCAACUCCCAGCCUGUGGAUCCAGCACAGGCACGCCAGCACCGACAGCCGAUGCUUCUCCCAGCUCGACUUCCUUCCCACUGCCAGAGCGCCAAGGGCACGCUAGGUUGCAUCUGAAUUUG
This 1517-nucleotide long non-coding RNA is filed under the name Aotus nancymaae (Ma's night monkey). RNAcentral describes it as "lncRNA (ENSANAG00000039024.1)". Lineage: Eukaryota; Metazoa; Chordata; Mammalia; Primates; Aotidae. The record is from RNAcentral.